AUACGGGGGGUGCAAGCGUUAAUCGGAAUUAUUGGGCGUAAAGGGAGCGCAGGCUGUUUUGCAGGUCAGAUGUGAAAGCCCGGGGCUUAACCCCGGAAGUGCAUUUGAAACCGCAAGACUUGAGUAUGGGAGAGGGUAGUGGAAUUCCUGGUGUAGAGGUGAAAUUCGUAGAUAUCAGGAGGAACACCGGUGGCGAAGGCGACUCUCUGGACCGAUACUGACGCUGAGACGCGAAAGCGUGGGGAGCGAACAGGAUUAGAAACCCCAGUAGUCC
This 274-nucleotide ribosomal RNA is filed under the name uncultured bacterium. RNAcentral's name for it is "partial 16S ribosomal RNA". It matches the Rfam family "Bacterial small subunit ribosomal RNA", at positions 523 to 796 of the family's 1533-position model. The record is from RNAcentral.